AUGACGAAAGAAAUGUAUGCUCAGUUAUUCCCAAAAGAACAAAGCACAUUCUUAAACAUGAAUGAAUCUAUACAUGAAAAAUUAAGAUGGAAGGACGUCACAGUGGAAACACCCCUUGUAUCUCCUCAUGGUAUUUAUUACAUCUUCUUAACUUUAUAUACACCAACCUUUUUGAACAUAUGCUUGUACAGUACUAGCUACCAGUUCUUCUCUCAUAGAAACUAUUGCAUCGAAUCAAUUUUUGUAGGCACACAUCCUGAAUUGCAAAGGAGUGCAAGUUAUCAAAUUGAAAGGAAUGAGUUGACUGUACCUGCGUCCACUUGCAACAUGUUGACCAACAGAAGUAGUUCAGGUGGAAAAAAACACCAUUCUACACAGCUGAUAAGUGGGCCGGGGUCUAUCAUUGAAUGA
Molecule: ribosomal RNA, 411 nt
Filed under: Triticum aestivum (bread wheat)
Lineage: Eukaryota; Viridiplantae; Streptophyta; Magnoliopsida; Poales; Poaceae
Description: partial small subunit ribosomal RNA
Source: RNAcentral